GUUUAAGCUGGCCUCCUACCCACCGACUAUGGACCAGGUUGGAGACCCCGUUCAAGAGUUACCCUGCCCAGCCACCAUUAGCAACUUUCCCUCAUGGCCCUGGUCUGGCACUUUCCCUUCUCUGGAAUGGAACCGAACGCUAGCUCCCUGGCGGCCGUUCGCAUGAACAAACCCACAAAUGGUCCUCAGUGGGACUUAGCCACGGCCGCUAUGGAACUUUUGCUGUAAGCACUGUCUUUUCAGAGAAAAGGACCAGGUUGGAGACCCCAUUCGAGAGUUACCCUGCCCAGCCG
Molecule: non-coding RNA, 293 nt
Organism: Pelobates cultripes (western spadefoot toad)
Lineage: Eukaryota; Metazoa; Chordata; Amphibia; Anura; Pelobatidae
Source: the annotation of a GenBank genome assembly